GAUGAACGCUGGCGGCGUGCCUAAUACAUGCAAGUCGGGCGAACGGACGAGAAGCUUGCUUUUCUGAUGUUAGCGGCGGACGGGUGAGUAACACGUGGAUAACCUACCUAUAAUACUGGGAUAACUUCGGGAAACAGGAUCUAAUACCGCAGAAUAUUUUGAACCUCAUAGUUCAAAAGUGAAAGACGGUCUUGCUGUCACAUAUAGAUGGAGCCGCGCUGCAUUAGCUAGUUGUUAAGGUAACGGCUUACCAAGGCAACGAUGCAUAGCCGACCUGAGAGGGUGAUCGGCCACACUGGAACUGAGACACGGCCCAGACUCCUACGGGAGGCAGCAGUAGGGAAUCUUCCGCAAUGGGCGAAAGCCUGACGGAGCAACGCCGCGUGAGUGAUGAAGGUCUUCGGAUCGUAAAACUCUGUUAUUAGGGAAGAACAUAUGUGUAAGUAACUGUGCACAUCUUGACGGUACCUAAUCAGAAAGCCACGGCUAACUACGUG
Molecule: ribosomal RNA, 497 nt
Filed under: uncultured bacterium
Lineage: Bacteria
Description: partial 16S ribosomal RNA
Rfam family: Bacterial small subunit ribosomal RNA
Source: RNAcentral